Molecule: ribosomal RNA, 642 nt
Filed under: Escherichia coli
Lineage: Bacteria; Pseudomonadati; Pseudomonadota; Gammaproteobacteria; Enterobacterales; Enterobacteriaceae
Description: partial 23S ribosomal RNA
Rfam family: Bacterial large subunit ribosomal RNA
Source: RNAcentral
CGCUGGAGGUAUCAGAAGUGCGAAUGCUGACAUAAGUAACGAUAAAGCGGGUGAAAAGCCCGCUCGCCGGAAGACCAAGGGUUCCUGUCCAACGUUAAUCGGGGCAGGGUGAGUCGACCCCUAAGGCGAGGCCGAAAGGCGUAGUCGAUGGGAAACAGGUUAAUAUUCCUGUACUUGGUGUUACUGCGAAGGGGGGACGGAGAAGGCUAUGUUGGCCGGGCGACGGUUGUCCCGGUUUAAGCGUGUAGGCUGGUUUUCCAGGCAAAUCCGGAAAAUCAAGGCUGAGGCGUGAUGACGAGGCACUACGGUGCUGAAGCAACAAAUGCCCUGCUUCCAGGAAAAGCCUCUAAGCAUCAGGUAACAUCAAAUCGUACCCCAAACCGACACAGGUGGUCAGGUAGAGAAUACCAAGGCGCUUGAGAGAACUCGGGUGAAGGAACUAGGCAAAAUGGUGCCGUAACUUCGGGAGAAGGCACGCUGAUAUGUAGGUGAAGCGACUUGCUCGUGGAGCUGAAAUCAGUCGAAGAUACCAGCUGGCUGCAACUGUUUAUUAAAAACACAGCACUGUGCAAACACGAAAGUGGACGUAUACGGUGUGACGCCUGCCCGGUGCCGGAAGGUUAAUUGAUGGGGUCAGCGCAA